ACAGCCCCCAACCGAUGGGAGUUGUUACGUCCACUAUGUCCCCCCUCGAUUCCCAACAUGCUAUGAUACCCUGGGGUGGGUAGGAGCGGGUCGAGUCCGUAUUACCGAAGCAAUAUUCUAUGCUACUUUUCAAAGUCUGGAUCAACCUAUCGGGAAGGUAGCUGUUCUCGACCGACCCUUGACCUAACCCUCGGAAGCAGAGCCACAUCACAGAGCUAGGUACUAUGCUCAUCUAUUCUAUAGUCAAAGCAGGAGCCUAUCCUUAGCAACGUGCCCCAGUUGUCAUCUUUGUGUUUGUGUGUGUCUGAAUGUCUGAGUGGGACCUUUCCUCGUGAAUUGCCUUCUUCGAGGCAUGAUCAGGAGCGAGAUUUCACUCUUCAAUGGUACGAUACCAGCACG
Molecule: long non-coding RNA, 399 nt
Filed under: Elaeis guineensis (African oil palm)
Lineage: Eukaryota; Viridiplantae; Streptophyta; Magnoliopsida; Arecales; Arecaceae
Description: long non-coding RNA (EGUI_LNC028684)
Source: RNAcentral